This 82-nucleotide transfer RNA is filed under the name Perca fluviatilis (European perch). It matches the Rfam family "tRNA". Rfam says of the family: Transfer RNA (tRNA) molecules are approximately 80 nucleotides in length. Their secondary structure includes four short double-helical elements and three loops (D, anti-codon, and T loops). Further hydrogen bonds mediate the characteristic L-shaped molecular structure. tRNAs have two regions of fundamental functional importance: the anti-codon, which is responsible for specific mRNA codon recognition, and the 3' end, to which the tRNAs corresponding amino acid is attached (by aminoacyl-tRNA synthetases). tRNAs cope with the degeneracy of the genetic code in two manners: having more than one tRNA (with a specific anti-codon) for a particular amino acid; and 'wobble' base-pairing, i.e. permitting non-standard base-pairing at the 3rd anti-codon position. The record is from Rfam by way of RNAcentral. Lineage: Eukaryota; Metazoa; Chordata; Actinopteri; Perciformes; Percidae.
GCUGUGAUGGCCAAGUGGUUAAGGCAUUAGACUUGAAAUCCAAUAGGGUUUCCUCACACAGGUUCAAACUCUGCUCAUAGCU